GAUCGAACUCCACCAGCACCAGGCGUUUCUCGGUCACACCGUGCGCAAUCAGCGCAUCGGUGAUCGCGCCGGUGCCGGGUCCAAGCUCGAUGACGGGGCCGUCGGAAUGCGGAUCGACAUAACGCGNCGUGCGCGCCAACACCUUGCUGGAGGGCAUUACUGCGCCCAUGUGCAGCGGCUUUUCAAUCCAGGAGCGGAGAAAACGGACUUCGUCGUCAAGACGAAGCGGUUUUUUCAACGCAC
This 243-nucleotide unclassified non-coding RNA is filed under the name Hevea brasiliensis (rubber tree). The record is from RNAcentral. Lineage: Eukaryota; Viridiplantae; Streptophyta; Magnoliopsida; Malpighiales; Euphorbiaceae.